AUGGCAAGCACCAAAGUUAAGAGGAUUAUGACUCAACCCAUUAACUUGAUUUUCAGGUUUCUUCAACAUAAAGCUCGCACUCAUAUUUGGAUCUUUGAGCAAAAGGACCUUAGGAUUGAAGGACGAAUCAUUGAUUUUGCUGAUUAUAUGAAUUUGAUUCUCGAUGAAGCUGAAUAAGUCAGCAUUAAGAAAAACCAAGAAAGUCAAUGGGAAAGAUUCUUCAGUUGA
RNAcentral lists this long non-coding RNA (228 nucleotides) under Prunus dulcis (almond). RNAcentral describes it as "sRNA ncRNA". The record is from RNAcentral. Lineage: Eukaryota; Viridiplantae; Streptophyta; Magnoliopsida; Rosales; Rosaceae.